AGCCAGCUGCAAGAGAUCCUUUCCUGCCAGCAUCGGCCUCAGCUCGCUGCAGACUCCUCUGGCAUCC
This 67-nucleotide ribosomal RNA is filed under the name uncultured Symbiodinium. The record is from RNAcentral. Lineage: Eukaryota; Dinophyceae; Suessiales; Symbiodiniaceae.